GGUCAAGCUACAAAGGGCGCAUGGUGAAUGCCUUGGCAUCAGGAGCCGAUGAAGGACGUGAUAAGCUGCGAUAAGCUUCGGGUAGGCGCACAUAGCCAGAGAUCCGGAGAUUUCCGAAUGAGGAAACUCACAUGGGAAACCCCAUGUAUCAUAAAGUGAAUACAUAGCUUUAUGAAGGUAAACCCAGGGAACUGAAACAUCUAAGUACCUGGAGGAAGAGAAAGAAAAAUCGAUUUUCUUAGUAGCGGCGAGCGAAAAGGAAAGAGCCCAAACCAGAGAUUUAUCUCUGGGGUUGCGGACAGAACAUAACGAGAAAUCAUAGUUAACCGAACACAACUGGAAAGUUGGACCGCAGGGGGUAAUAGUCCCGUAAGUGAAAAUUAUGAUAAUCAGUUCUGCACCAGAGUACCACGAGACACGUGAAACCUUGUGGGAAGCAGGGAGGACCACCUCCCAAGGCUAAAUACUACCUGAUGACCGAUAGUGAAGCAGUACCGUGAGGGAAAGGUGAAAAGAACCCCGGGAGGGGAGUGAAAUAGAACCUGAAACCAUGUGCCUACAACCGAUCAAAGCACCUUAUGUGUGUGAUGAUGUGCUUUUUGUAGAACGAGCCAACGAGUUACGGUAUGUAGCGAGGUUAAGUACUUAAGGUACGGAGCCGAAGGGAAACCGAGUCUUAAUAGGGCGACUAGUUGCAUGCUGUAGACCCGAAACCGGGUGACCUAUCCAUGGCCAGGUUGAAGCGAGGGUAAAACCUCGUGGAGGACCGAACCACGUUGCUGUUGAAAAAGCAUGGGAUGAGCUGUGGAUAGCGGAGAAAUUCCAAUCGAACUCGGAUAUAGCUGGUUCUCCUCGAAAUAGCUUUAGGGCUAGCGUCGGAAAAUGUGAGUAGUGGAGGUAGAGCACUGAAUAGGCUAGGGGGCAUAGCGCUUACCGAACCUUAUCAAACUCCGAAUGCCAUAUACUAUCAGUCCGGCAGUCAGACUAUGAAAGAUAAGUUCCAUGGUCAAAAGGGAAACAGCCCAGAUCGUCAGCUAAGGUCCCAAAGUGUAAGUUAAGUGGAAAAGGAUGUGGGAUUUCUAAGACAACUAGGAUGUUGGCUUAGAAGCAGCCACUCAUUAAAAGAGUGCGUAAUAGCUCACUAGUCAAGAGAUCCUGCGCCGAAAAUGUCCGGGGCUCAAACUUACCACCGAAGCUACGGGUUCACAAUUUAUUGUGAGCGGUAGAGGAGCGUCGUAAUCGGGCUGAAGUCGUACCGAAAGGAGCGGUGGACUGAUUACGAGUGAGAAUGUUGGCAUUAGUAGCGAGAUGUAGGUGAGAAUCCUACAGGCCGAAUAUCUAAGGUUUCCUGAGUAAAGUUUGUCUUCUCAGGGUUAGUCGGGACCUAAGGCGAGGCCGAAAGGCGUAGUCGAUGGACAAUUGGUUGAUAUUCCAAUACCACUAUAAUCGUUAUUAUCGAUGGUGUGACGGAGAAGGAUAGGAUGUGCUAACUAUUGGAUGUUAGUCUAAGCGUUUAGGGAGUUAGGAUAGGCAAAUCCGUUCUAACAAUUCUGAGGCGUGAUGGGGAAGGUUC
This 1573-nucleotide ribosomal RNA is filed under the name Clostridium saccharobutylicum. Its description in RNAcentral is "partial 23S ribosomal RNA". It matches the Rfam family "Bacterial large subunit ribosomal RNA", at positions 1 to 1578 of the family's 2925-position model. Lineage: Bacteria; Bacillati; Bacillota; Clostridia; Eubacteriales; Clostridiaceae. The record is from RNAcentral.